CCAGUCGGCCGGACGGCCGCUGCCGGUGGGCGGACUUUGUGGUCAGACCCCAUCGGUGGAGGAAAGUCCGGGCUCCAUGGAAACACGGUGGCGGCUAACGGCCGCCGGGGGCGACCCCAGGGAAAGUGCCACAGAAAGCAAACCGCCUCAUUGUCUUUCGGGAUGGCGAGGUAAGGGUGAAAGGGUGCGGUAAGAGCGCACCGCGCGCUUGGUGACAGGCGUGGCAAGGUAAACCCCACCGGGAGCAAGACCGAAUAGGGGUGGCCGGAUGUGUUGAUCGACCGGCUCCACGCGACUUCAGCUCGUCAACACUGCGCAAGCGUGUGUUGAGCAAAGGAAGUGUGGACCACGAAAAACGACGUCGAACCUGUUUCCAGGUGAGCCACCCGGGUUGGUUGCUAGAGGCGUUCAGCAAUGGACGUCCCAGAUGAAUGGCCGUCGCGGAAGGUGGCCCAACACGACUUUAGGAAGUGUUGGCUGAAACCAGCCCAACACGACUUUAGGACGUGUUGGUCAUACAAAGCCUUCCAGACAGAACCCGGCUUACAGGCCGACUGGUGUA
Molecule: RNase P RNA, 562 nt
Filed under: Alphaproteobacteria bacterium
Lineage: Bacteria; Pseudomonadati; Pseudomonadota; Alphaproteobacteria
Description: RNase P RNA component class A
Rfam family: Bacterial RNase P class A
About the family: Ribonuclease P (RNase P) is a ubiquitous endoribonuclease, found in archaea, bacteria and eukarya as well as chloroplasts and mitochondria.
Source: RNAcentral